RNAcentral lists this ribosomal RNA (600 nucleotides) under uncultured bacterium. RNAcentral's name for it is "bacterial SSU rRNA". It matches the Rfam family "Bacterial small subunit ribosomal RNA", at positions 894 to 1482 of the family's 1533-position model. The record is from RNAcentral.
UUAAAACUCAAAGGAAUUGACGGGGAUCCGCACAAGCGGUGGAACAUGUGGUUUAAUUCGACACUACGCGAGGAACCUUACCUGGAUUUGACAUGCAUAUGAUCGCUGUAGAAAUAUAGUUUUCUAAACUUUGUUUAGACAUAUGCACAGGUGCUGCAUGGCUGUCGUCAGCUCGUGUCGUGAGAUGUUGGGUUAAGUCCUUUAACGAGCGCAACCCCUACUGUCAGUUGCUACUUAUCUUCGGAUAAAGCACUCUGAUGGGACUGCCUGGGAAACCAGGAGGAAGGUGGGGACGAGGUCAAGUCAUCAUGGUCCUUAUGUCCAGGGCUACACACGUGUUACAAUGGUCGGUACAAAGGGUUGCUACUUCGCAAGGAGAAGCUAAUCCCAUAAAGCCGAUCUAAGUUCGGAUUGAGGUCUGCAAUUUGACCUCAUGAAGUUGAAAUCGCUAGUAAUCGCGCAUCAGCAACGGCGCGGUGAAUACGUUCUCGGAUCUUGUACACACCGCCCGUCACAUCAUGAAAGUUGUUUGUACCCGAAGUCUCUUUAGCUAACCCGUAAGGGGGGCGAGUGCCUAAGGUAUGGAUGAUGAUUGGGAUG